GCAGCCGCCCGUACAGAGUGGACGAUGGUGGUUUUGAGAGUGGUGUGUAUAACAAUACAGUCAUAAAGACCCCAAACCUAGAUGCUUUGGCCCAGCGGAGCUUGAUCUUCCAGAAUGCCUUCACUUCUGUCAGCAGCUGCUCCCCCAGCAGGGCCAGCCUCUUGACGGGCCUGCCUCAGCAUCAGAAUGGGAUGUACGGAUUGCAUCAAGAUGUGCACCACUUCAACUCUUUUGAUAGUGUCCGGAGCCUCCCCUUAUUGCUUAACCAGGCUGGGAUACGGACAGGUAAGCAGAGGAGAG
Non-coding RNA from Thamnophis sirtalis, 300 nucleotides. The record is from RefSeq and is a predicted model, not a curated record. Lineage: Eukaryota; Metazoa; Chordata; Lepidosauria; Squamata; Natricidae.